RNAcentral lists this ribosomal RNA (492 nucleotides) under uncultured bacterium. Its description in RNAcentral is "partial 16S ribosomal RNA". It matches the Rfam family "Bacterial small subunit ribosomal RNA", at positions 28 to 506 of the family's 1533-position model. The record is from RNAcentral.
GACGAACGCUGGCGGCGUGCUUAACACAUGCCAGUCGAACGGUGAAGCGCCUUCCUUUUUGGUGGGUGUGGAUGAGUGGCGAACGGGUGAGUAACACGUGAGUAACCUGCCCCCUUCUUCUGGAUAACCGCAUGAAAGUGUGGCUAAUACGGGAUAUUCUGGGUCUGUCGCAUGAUGGGUCUGGGAAAGAUAUUGUUUCGGUGGGGGAUGGGCUCGCGGCCUAUCAGCUUGUUGGUGGGUGAUGGCCUACCAAGGCGGUGACGGGUAGCCGGCCUGAGAGGGUGGACGGUCACACUGGGACUGAGACACGGCCCAGACUCCUACGGGAGGCAGCAGUGGGGAAUAUUGCACAAUGGGCGCAAGCCUGAUGCAGCGACGCCGCGUGAGGGAUGGAGGCCUUCGGGUUGUGAACCUCUUUCGCCAGUGAAGCAGGCCUGCCUCGUUUGUGGGUGGGUUGACGGUAGCUGGAUAAGAAGCGCCGGCUAACUACGU